Molecule: long non-coding RNA, 303 nt
Organism: Sinocyclocheilus rhinocerous
Lineage: Eukaryota; Metazoa; Chordata; Actinopteri; Cypriniformes; Cyprinidae
Exons: 3
Source: RefSeq, a predicted model, not a curated record
GUCUAAACUCGUAGAUCCUCAAGAAGAAGACUAGUACAUAUAACACGAGGCGAACGCGGGCAAGUCCUUUCUGUUAUGAAGCAGUAAAGAACGUGUGCGUGUUGAGAAAAAAAUACGGCUGUUUGCUGGUGUUUUCCGAGGACUUCACAAAUUUAUGAUUCCGAUGAAGGAGAUUUGGACCGCUUUAUCCUUAAUCUUCAUAUUCAGACUUGUUUUCUUUGAACUGCUGUGUGUCCUAUGAAUUUCAUGUUUGUAUGUUGAGUGUAUUAUUGUAACUCAAGUCCUAUUAAAAGGUCUUUAUUC